Molecule: ribosomal RNA, 292 nt
Filed under: uncultured Verrucomicrobiota bacterium
Lineage: Bacteria; Pseudomonadati; Verrucomicrobiota
Description: uncultured Verrucomicrobia bacterium partial 16S ribosomal RNA
Source: RNAcentral
GGACUACCAGGGUAUCUAAUCCUGUUUGCUCCCCUAGCUUUCGUGCCUCAGUGUCAGAUGUUGUCCAGGGACCCGCCUUCGCCACUGGUGUUCCACUUGAUAUCUACGCAUUUCACUGCUACACCAAGUAUUCCGGUCCCCCCUCCAAAUCUCGAGCAGGAUAGUAUUCAAUGCAGUUUCCGGGUUAAGCCCGGAGAUUUCACAUCAAACUUACCCUGCCACCUACGCACCCUUUACGCCCAGUGAAUCCGAACAACGCUUGGGACCUCUGUAUUACCGCGGCUGCUGGCAC